CAGUAGCCACGGGAAUACAGAGGGUGCGAGCGUUAAUCGAAUUUACUGGGCGUAAAGCGUGCGUAGGCGGCUUUUUAAGUCGGAUGUGAAAUCCCUGAGCUUAACUUAGGAAUUGCAUUCGAUACUGGGAAGCUAGAGUAUGGGAGAGGAUGGUAGAAUUCCAGGUGUAGCGGUGAAAUGCGUAGAGAUCUGGAGGAAUACCGAUGGCGAAGGCAGCCAUCUGGCCUAAUACUGACGCUGAGGUACGAAAGCAUGGGGAGCAAACAGGAUUAGAUACCCCUGUAGUCCCUGUCUCUUAUAC
This 301-nucleotide ribosomal RNA is filed under the name uncultured bacterium. RNAcentral describes it as "partial 16S ribosomal RNA". It matches the Rfam family "Bacterial small subunit ribosomal RNA", at positions 509 to 807 of the family's 1533-position model. The record is from RNAcentral.